RNAcentral lists this ribosomal RNA (460 nucleotides) under uncultured bacterium. RNAcentral describes it as "partial 16S ribosomal RNA". It matches the Rfam family "Bacterial small subunit ribosomal RNA", at positions 338 to 795 of the family's 1533-position model. The record is from RNAcentral.
CCUACGGGCGGCAGCAGUGAGGAAUAUUGGUCAAUGGGCGCGAGCCUGAACCAGCCAAGUCGCGUGAGGGAUGAAGGUUCUAUGGAUCGUAAACCUCUUUUAUAAAGGAAUAAAACGAGGCACGUGUGCGUUUUUGCAUGUACUUUAUGAAUAAGGAUCGGCUAACUCCGUGCCAGCAGCCGCGGUAAUACGGAGGAUCCGAGCGUUAUCCGGAUUUAUUGGGUUUAAGGGGAGCGUAGAUGGGGUGUUAAGUCAGUUGUGAAAGUUUGCGGCUCAACCGUAAAAUUGCAAUUGAUACUGGCAGUCUUGAGUACAGUUGAGGUAGGCGGAAUUCGUGGUGUAGCGGUGAAAUGCUUAGAUAUCACGAAGAACCCCGAUUGCGAAGGCAGCUUACUAAACUGUGACUGACAUUGAUGCUCGAAAGUGUGGGUAUCAAACAGGAUUAGAUACCCUUGUAGUC